This 377-nucleotide ribosomal RNA is filed under the name uncultured bacterium. Its description in RNAcentral is "bacterial SSU rRNA". It matches the Rfam family "Bacterial small subunit ribosomal RNA", at positions 521 to 896 of the family's 1533-position model. The record is from RNAcentral.
UAAUACGAAGGGUGCAAGCGUUACUCGGAAUUACUGGGCGUAAAGCGUGCGUAGGUGGUUCGUUAAGUCUGAUGUGAAAGCCCUGGGCUCAACCUGGGAAUGGCAUUGGAAACUGGCGACCUAGAGUGCGGUAGAGGGUAGUGGAAUUCCCGGUGUAGCAGUGAAAUGCGUAGAGAUCGGGAGGAACAUCCGUGGCGAAGGCGACUACCUGGACCAGCACUGACACUGAGGCACGAAAGCGUGGGGAGCAAACAGGAUUAGAUACCCUGGUAGUCCACGCCCUAAACGAUGCGAACUGGAUGUUGGGUGCAACUAGGCACUCAGUAUCGAAGCUAACGCGUUAAGUUCGCCGCCUGGGGAGUACGGUCGCAAGACUG